GCUCAAAAAAUAUAGAUUCCACUAACAAUAUUGUUUGUGGCAUUCCUUUAGAGAUUUUAAAAUUUAACAUUACUAUGAAUCAUUUGUUGAGCUCUUAUAUGGUGAGCUUGCUAUUGAAAGCAGUGCCUUUAGGAUAGCUAAAAAAAUAAAUGAAUAUAGUUUUGUGUUGUGUAUUAAUUUGAGCUUAAAAUCGAUCGUCACGUUUGUUCUUUCUUCUUGGAAUGUUUUGCAAAAGAAUGCACUGGUCUAUUUGAUGUUGAAUUUCAACAAUAGAUAUUGAAAUACCCAAUGGGAUAAAGGAAAAUAAAGAAGAAAAACAUUUUCAAACAAAUGAUUAGCUUCGUCAACUUUGUAAUGCAUUAGUUCAUUUUCAAUUAAUUAUAACGUCACUUGUCCACUAUUUAAAUCAUAGUUUAUUUAUUUGAGGUUGAAAAUCGUGCCAAUAUUUCUUGGACACUCAAAUAUCUUCUUGCAAUAGUUGGAUAGUCAAUAUUGAUUUAAUUCAAGAAAAAAACUGAGUGAAAUUAAUCCAACAUAUGAUAAAGUUCAAUUUGGAUUAUUGGACACUAUAUUCUCAAAAGCCUUCAAUGAAAUAAAAAAGAGAAGAGCUCCAAUAUCAUGAAUUUUUUGAAAAUUAAAGGAAAUUCUUCUUUAAAAUUCAAAUAAUUUAUAUAUUAUGAUUUAGUUUUUAAGAUUUUUUAGAAAAUGCGAAGUACUACUCCUUCUAUAACUUAAUGUUACAAAGCGAGAGAAAAAUACAAAAAAAAAUUAUAAUUUAAUUUUAAUGUUAGUAUUGGACACGGGCUUAGCACGGGUCAAGUGACACUAAUAUAUAUAUAUAUACACACACACACACUCACUCACAGAGUCACAGAUUUAUAACUUAUGUAAGAUGUCAAAGAUAUUUUAGUUAUUUUAACAAUAGAUCAACUUAUUUAACUUAUUUUUACUAAACAAAUUAAUUAUUUAUUAUCAGUCUCAGUACUUAUAUCCGAACACGUAACUGCUUAUUUAUAAAAAUCAGUUUCAAUGCCUAAAACUUAUCAGCUACUUAUAAUCAACUUACCCAAACAUACUCUAAGUUAUAUACACUAAAUUUUACAGUAUGAUGUCUCAUGUAGCAAGCACCUUGCCUUAUUGUCAAGAUUAUAAAUCUCACUUUUUAUAGGAGGUUUAGUUGUCAAUAUCCUUUAAAGAGUUUAAGUUCUACGCAGUGACACUUUAAAAUAUAUUUAUACAAUCAUGUCAUUUAUUAAAUAAUUACAGAUAAAUUUCAUGAUAAGUAUUCAAUCUUGAUUUCCCUGUCAAGUACCUAUUGGGUCAAAAUUGUGAUCAUCCCCCAAUGUUGUGUGUUGGCUAUUGAUUUUGAUUAUCCAUUAAAAAAAAAAAUCAAAUUUUAAAGUUUUAUUUACUUGUUUUGCCUAUUAUUUUUUCCAAAACAUUUGUAGGCAUGAAUCAAAAUUUAUUGGAAGUAUUAUAAAACAAGUCCAACAAGAGGUCAAGUACCAGACACCCCUAGAUGUUGCUUUGCAUCCAGUUGGAGUAGAUUUUUGUGUUGAAGAUAUAGAGUUGUUACUGCAAACUGGAUGUGUAGAUGAAGUUCGCAUGAUUGGUAUAUAUGGGGUUGGUGGAAUUGGAAAAACAACUCUGGCAAAGGCUAUUUACAACCGAAUGUUUCGACACUUCGAUAGUAGUUGCUUCCUUUCAGAUGUUAGAUCAAAAGUUGAAGAAUUGGGUCUAGUCAAGCUGCAAGAGAAGUUACUUCAUCAGAUCCUCAAAACUAAGGACUUCGAAGUUGAUAUUGUUGCUGAAGGUGUCAAUCUAAUCAAAGCAAGACUUGAGUCAAAAAAGGUUCUAAUUAUUCUUGAUGAUGUGGAUCAUAGAAGUCAAUUAGAAUCCUUAGCAAGAGAAAGAAGUUGGUUUGGUUCAGGUAGUUUAAUAAUUAUUACAACCCGCGAUAAGCAAUUGCUAUGUGGGCUUAGAGAAAAUGAGAGAUACAAGGCCAAACUAUUACAUCCAUAUCAGUCUCUGCAACUUUUUUCUUGUCAUGCUUUUAAAAGUCUUUCUCCACCACAAGAAUAUGAUGAGCUGGCACAAGACGUAAUCAAAUAUUCAGGUGGGCUACCAUUAGCUCUUGUGACAUUGGGGUCACAUUUGCAAGGGAGAUCCAUAGAAGAAUGGAGAUACGAGUUCAAAAAACUGAGAGCAAUUCCUCAUUGUGAUAUUCAAAAGAUUCUCAAGAUAAGCUUUGAUGGACUUGAUUGUGAUACUCAAGAUGUUUUCCUUGAUAUCGCGUGCGCCUUCCAUGGAUUUCCUAAGGAUGAAGUUACCAAAACAUUAAAUGCAUGUGGUUUUCAUACUGAAAGUGCAAUUUUAACAUUAGUCCAAAGACACUUGCUCGACAGGGUUGUGGAUAAUUUGACGAUGCAUGAUUUAGUGCGGGAUAUGGGAAGAGAAAUCGUUCGCAUGGAGUCACCUCGAGAUCCUGGAAAACGAAGUAGACUGUUCAACCCUCAAGAAGUCUGUGAUGUUCUACAAGGAAAUAAAGGUACCAAGAAAGUAGAAGUACUGAUGAUAGAUUCACGGGCAUUAAAGGUGUGAACUUGAGCACCAAAGCAUUUAAGAACAUGAAAAAUCUUAGGGUGCUUAAAAUUGAUGCAUCACAUAUUAGUGGAGAUUUUAAGCUUUUGUCCAAGGAGCUCAGAUGGUUGUCUUGGCAAAAAUGUUCUUUAAAAUAUAUACCAUCAAAUUUUCCGGCUGAGAAACUUGUAGUUCUGGAUAUGCAAGGGAGUAAUAUCCAAGAAUUUGGUUUGAAUUUGCAGUGUUGUAAAAGUCUGAACAAGCUGGAUCUUUCUUAUUGUAAGAAGCUCAAAAGAACUCCGAACUUCAAUGGUUCACGCAGUCUCAAGACUUUGAGGUUUCGUGAUUGCUCAAAUCUGACGGAGAUCCAUCAAUCUAUAGGAAGUUUGAGUCGGCUAAUUUAUCUAAAUUUGGAUGGUUGCAAAAAGCUUACGGAUCUUCCGAGCAGCAUAUGCAAGCUAAAAUCCCUUGAAUCCUUGAAGAUUUGUUGGUGCUCAUCUUUACAAACACUGCCAGUUGGCGUUCGAGAUAUGGGAGGUCUAAAUACUCUUAAUGCAGCUUAUGCGGGUAUAACUCAAUUGCCUGUUGAAAUGCCAAGAAAUCUUGUACAGUUGGAAAUAAGAGGUCAACAUUUAGAGGCCAAAGCGGGUUUUUCUCGAAGAAGAGUCUAUCGUGUGGGAUCCUUGCCAACUUGUGUUUGUUGUAAAAGUUUGAAGGUGUUGGAUCUCUCUAAUUGCAAGCGCCUCAGAAGAACUCCGAACUUUAAUAGUUCACGAAGUCUCGAGACUCUGCGGUUUCAUGGUUGCUCAAGGCUGAUGGAGAUCCAUCCAUCAAUUGGCAAUUUGGACAGACUAACUGAACUGUACUUGUAUGGUUGCAAAAAGCUGAUGGAUCUUCCGAGUAGCAUAUGCCAGCUAAAGUCCCUUCGACUCUUGAAUAUUCAUAGGUGCUCAUCUAUACAAACACUACCGGUUGACCUUGGAGAUAUCCGAGGUCUAAAAUAUCUUAAUGCAAGUUGUACUGGUAUAAAACAAUUACCUGGAUCUGUUAAAAUGCUAAGAGAUCUUGUAUAUUUAGAAGUGGGAGGUGAGGCCAAAAGGAGCUUUUCUCGAAAGAGAGUCCAUUGCAUACAGUCCUUGUAAGGCUUACAUACUUUAAAUUGUCUGAGGCUGAUAUUCCUAGGGAUAUUCGGAGUUUAUCCUCCCUGAGAUGUUUAGACUUGAGCGGCGACAGUUUUCUCUGUCUACCCUUUGGUUCUGUUGAGUUACGAUUCUUGGAGUACUUGUGUUUGAACAACUAUAAGAAUCUUCAGACAAUCCCAUUAGUAUCAAAUUUAGAAAAUCUUGAGUUUUAUGAAAUUGGAAAUUGCAAGAAGUUGGUCGACAUUACAGGGUUGGACAACCUCCCUUCUAUAGAGCAGCUCAACAUGCUUAAUUGUAAUGCUCUGCAGCAUCCGUUCAAUGAAGGCUUCUUUAGUGCAUUCCAAUCUAGAAAAAAUUGGAAUCUGGGGUUAGAUAUUUAUCUACAAAGCAAUGAGAUUCCAGAUUGGUGCAGCAACCAAGUUACAGCUCCGUCUAUCUGCUUCAUUAUGCCCAUGCAUAAUAAGGAGUAUCAGUUUUUAGGGAUGAUUGUCUGGUGUGUUCGCAAGUUUGUCAAUGUACCCUCUUCUGGUCCAUGGAAAGGCUUGGGGUUUAGUAUUGCAGGAAAAAUGUUUCCAGAUGUCUUCUCGCAUGAUGAUAAUGAAUUACCUGCUGGACACGUGGAACUAUCAUUUGUAUUUUACAGAUCUUACACGCAAAGACCUUUUGAUGGCCAGAUGAAAUGCGGAGAAAAAAUGGAAGUCUUCGAGGUGGGCAUAGAAAAUACAGUAAAGAAGAUAGGGAUCCAUUUGUUAUAUUUAGACCAACAAGGUUAAGUUACAUCUUUACCAGCAAUAGUGGAUCAAUCUCAUUCUCAGAUGAAGAGAAGCCGGGAGAUAAGUGACAGAGUCUCAAUGGAAAAGAACCCAAAAAGAGUUUCAACAGAGCAUAUCAACUCAACCCUUGAUGAAAAAGCCAAGUUUUGAAUGCCUGAGUCAAUGUAGUUUUCCAAAUUGAACUAAUCAUGGUGUCUUAUACAUGACAAUAUUAGUCCUAUUUAGUGGGUCAAACAAUGUAUAAUUGACUACGAUAUUUUCAAA
Molecule: RNA transcript, 4759 nt
Organism: Lycium ferocissimum
Lineage: Eukaryota; Viridiplantae; Streptophyta; Magnoliopsida; Solanales; Solanaceae
Gene name: disease resistance protein Roq1-like
Exons: 5
Source: RefSeq, a predicted model, not a curated record